CAUGCAGUCGAACGAGAACGGAUUAUAGCUUGCUAUAAUUGUCAGCUAAGUGGCGCACGGGUGAGUAAUAUAUAGAUAACCUGCCCUCUAGAAAGGAAUAACAGUUGGAAACGACUGCUAAUGCCCUAUAUGCCUUUAAUACAUAAGUAUGCAAGGGAAACGCUUUAGUGCUAGAGGAUGGGUCUGUAUGGUAUCAGCUUGUUGGUGAGGUAAUGGCUCACCAAGGCUAUGACGCCUGACUGGUUUGAGAGGAUGAUCAGUCACACUGGAACUGAGACACGGUCCAGACUCCUACGGGAGGCAGCAGUGGGGAAUAUUGCACAAUGGACGAAAGUCUGAUGCAGCAACGCCGCGUGGAGGAUGACACAUUUCGGUGCGUGAACUCCUUUUAUAUAGGAAGAUAAUGACGGUACUAUAUGAAUAAGCACCGGCUAACUCCGUGCCAGCAGCCGCGGUAAUACGGAGGGUGCAAGCGUUACUCGGAAUCACUGGGCGUAAAGAGCGUGUAGGCGGAUAUAUAAGUCAGAAGUGAAAUCCAAUAGCUUAACUAUUGAACUGCUUUUGAAACUGUAUAUCUAGAAUGUGGGAGAGGUAGAUGGAAUUUCUGGUGUAGGGGUAAAAUCCGUAGAGAUCAGAAGGAAUACCGAUUGCGAAGGCGAUCUACUGGAACAUUAUUGACGCUGAGACGCGAAAGCGUGGGGAGCAAACAGGAUUAGAUACCCUGGUAGUCCACGCCCUAAACGACGCACACUAGUUGUUGUGAGGCUCGACCUUGCAGUAAUGCAGUUAACACAUUAAGUGUGCCGCCUGGGGAGUACGGUCGCAAGAUUAAAACUCAAAGGAAUAGACGGGGACCCGCACAAGCGGUGGAGCAUGUGGUUUAAUUCGACGAUACACGAAGAACCUUACCUGGACUUGACAUAGUAAGAA
This 930-nucleotide ribosomal RNA is filed under the name uncultured bacterium. RNAcentral describes it as "bacterial SSU rRNA". It matches the Rfam family "Bacterial small subunit ribosomal RNA", at positions 54 to 995 of the family's 1533-position model. The record is from RNAcentral.